CAAGAACCUUACCCAGUCUGCAAAGUGACAAGGUUCUGUAUCUUGCAUUGUCACAGAACAUAGCAGUGUCCAAUUCUAACAUUAACCUAACUUAGGACAAAAACAGAAUCUUGGAAAGUUCUAUUUCCUUGGGAAAGUUCGCUAUAUGAAAUGUAAAUCUGUUCUCCCGGGUCCACAGGAGAAUCAUCAGAGGUGGUCAGAGUAACGGAGCUACAGGCAACCACAUUCCUCUUCCCCUCACAUCUGGUAUGGAUUUACAGUGAUGAAAAAAAAAGGAAUCAUUUAAAUUAGGAAACUUAAUUCCAAACAGCAAAGUGGGAAACAGUUGAGAUGGACCAGAAACUGCAACUCAGAGAAACCACAGGAUGUCUUGUGAAACAGGCAAUUUGCGUGCGAUAGAGGAGAAAUUCCAUAGGACAGUGGAAUAUUACUUGGUCAUGUUAUAAAGGAUGAUUGUGUUAGCUCAACACGUUAGAAUCCUCCAUUUUGUCCCUCCUAUUGGCAAUGCACAAGUGUGGCUUGGAAUGAAGGGACUGUGUGGUUGCCAGGGUGACCCCAAGGACCAGUUAUUGCACAUAUGGUUCUGCAAAUGGAAGUUCCUGAGUCGGACCAAUGGCAGGAAAGAAGAUUUGCGAACUCGCCCAGGGCAAAGCUGGUGUAAAGUUUUAGAUAAAUGUUCAGAAUUAACCACCUCCUGUUACUCCUAAGUCUCCACAGAUACCAUGUUUUUAAGCCUCCUUUGGGACAAUCACUGGCUGGAAACACCAGAGCAAAAGAGAGGCAAAAUAUCGAUAGAUAUCAGAUGUAGGAUCAAGUUUAACCCCAUUCAAUAUCAGUAAUAUCAUUGUCUUCUUUGCAAUAUACUUCCUCAUGGACUGUACCAGCUACAACUGGGUAUCUUGGGUUUUCUAGGAGGAAGCACCAAUAAAUGAAAGAUUAGGCCCUUGGAGAACAUAAAAAAUGUUUCUGAUAUGGAUCUGAGAACGUUGAUUGCAGAUACUCCUGGCUUCCAAAGUAAAGUGUUGUAUCACUUAUGCAUAUAAGCAGUACGCAUUUUGACUUGCAAAAAAAAGCUGGCUAAAGCCAAGUUUGAGAUUGAAGAGGUCACUAAAGAAAACAUCUGGAGAAAGGUGCUGGGGUCCUAUGGCAUUUCCCUCCCACUCCCUACCAGGAAAAGGCAGAGGAUGCUUUCCCCUCACCUCAAGUCAAAUGGGAGGAGCUUGGCGUGUCUCUCCUGGAGUUUAGGGAUCCAGUGGACUGGUAACUGAAUCACAUAGAAAAAUAUUCUACAACAGAAAAAUUGGCUGAAGUGGCUGAUGGUGGCCCAAGAAAGAAAGCUUUAUUGUAAGUAAAUUGUGAUAACAAACAUGAAAGUAGAGGCAAGGAUGUGGUGUUUUUUACAAACCAAAUAUUGGCCACAAAGGAGAGAACCAGCCUGGAACCACUUUAAAUUUUGUCUAAGAGGACUAGUACGUGAAAGAGUGAUCCGACUCUCCCAGGAGUGAAGGGGAUGCCCUGAGGUCAGGGAAAAAUUGAAAAUAGCCAACUGGAAGACG
This is a long non-coding RNA of Equus caballus (horse), 1556 nucleotides long. Lineage: Eukaryota; Metazoa; Chordata; Mammalia; Perissodactyla; Equidae. The record is from Ensembl.